CCCGGCCGGUACGCCGGCCCCGAGCCGGUGGCUGCGCCCCACCCGGCCGGCUCCGACGCCCCGGAGCCGGUGGCGGCGUUCCACCCGGCCGGGG
Molecule: transfer RNA, 94 nt
Filed under: Streptomyces lavendulae subsp. lavendulae
Lineage: Bacteria; Bacillati; Actinomycetota; Actinomycetes; Kitasatosporales; Streptomycetaceae
Description: tRNA-Arg
Source: RNAcentral